GAUGAAGAACGUAGCGAAAUGCGAUAAGUAAUGUGAAUUGCAGAAUUCAGUGAAUCAUCGAAUCUUUGAACGCACAUUGCGCCCCCUGGUAUUCCGGGGGGCAUGCCUGUUCGAGCGUCAUUUCACCACUCAAGCCUCGCUUGGUAUUGGGCAACGCGGUCCGCCGCGUGCCUCAAAUCGACCGGCUGGGUCUUCUGUCCCCUAAGCGUUGUGGAAACUUUCGCUAAAGGGUGUUCGGGAGGCUACGCCGUAAAACAACCCCAUUUCUAAGGUUGACCUCGGAUCAGGUAGGGAUACCCGCUGAACUUAAGCAUAUCAAAAGCGGAGGA
Molecule: unclassified non-coding RNA, 329 nt
Filed under: soil metagenome
Description: partial contains 5.8S ribosomal RNA, internal transcribed spacer 2, and large subunit ribosomal RNA
Rfam family: 5.8S ribosomal RNA (bases 1-120)
Source: RNAcentral